RNAcentral lists this transfer RNA (58 nucleotides) under Gowidon longirostris (Long-snouted lashtail). RNAcentral's name for it is "tRNA-Cys". Lineage: Eukaryota; Metazoa; Chordata; Lepidosauria; Squamata; Agamidae. The record is from RNAcentral.
AGGAUUAAGGGCUAUUAAACCCGCUAUUUGAUUUGCACUCAAACAUCUUCUUUAAACC